CCUACGGGAGGCAGCAGUGGGGAAUAUUGCACAAUGGGGGAAACCCUGAUGCAGCGACGCCGCGUGAGUGAAGAAGUAAUUCGUUAUGUAAAGCUCUAUCAGCAGGGAAGAAAAUGACGGUACCUGAGUAAGAAGCCCCGGCUAACUACGUGCCAGCAGCCGCGGUAAUACGUAGGGGGCAAGCGUUAUCCGGAUUUACUGGGUGGAAAGGGAGCGUAGACGGCAGUGCAAGUCUGGAGUGAAAGGCGGGGGCUCAACCCCCGGACUGCUCUGGAAACUGUACGGCUGGAGUGCAGGAGAGGUAAGUGGAAUUCCUAGUGUAGCGGUUAAAUGCGUAGAUAUUAGGAGGAACACCAGUGGCGAAGGCGGCUUACUGGACUGUAACUGACGUUGAGGCUCGAAAGCGUGGGGAGCAAACAGGAUUAGAUACCCCUGUAGUC
Molecule: ribosomal RNA, 440 nt
Filed under: uncultured bacterium
Lineage: Bacteria
Description: partial 16S ribosomal RNA
Rfam family: Bacterial small subunit ribosomal RNA
Source: RNAcentral